Molecule: ribosomal RNA, 376 nt
Filed under: uncultured bacterium
Lineage: Bacteria
Description: bacterial SSU rRNA
Rfam family: Bacterial small subunit ribosomal RNA
Source: RNAcentral
AUACGUAGGUGGCGAGCGUUGUCCGGAAUUACUGGGCGUAAAGGGUGCGUAGGCGGCCAUUUAAGUGGGAUGUGAAAUACACAGGCUUAACUUGUGAAUUGCAUUCCAAACUGGAUGGCUAGAGUGCAGGAGAGGAAAGCGGAAUUCCCAGUGUAGCGGUGAAAUGCGUAGAGAUUGGGAGGAACACCAGUGGCGAAGGCGGCUUUCUGGACUGUAACUGACGCUGAUGCACGAAAGCGUGGGGAGCAAACAGGAUUAGAUACCCUGGUAGUCCACGCUGUAAACGAUGGAUACUAGGUGUAGGGGUUGUCAUGACCUCUGUGCCGCCGCUAACGCAUUAAGUAUUCCGCCUGGGGAGUACGGUCGCAAGAUUAAA